GCCAGGCGUGGUGGCACGUGCCUGUAAUCCCAGCUACUCAGGAGGCUGAGGUGGGAGGAUUGCUUGGGCCCAGGAGGUGGAGGUUGCAGUGAGCUAAGAUUACGCUACUGCACUCCAGCCUGGGCGACACAGCAAGACCCUGCCUCAA
This is an unclassified non-coding RNA of Pongo abelii (Sumatran orangutan), 148 nucleotides long. It matches the Rfam family "Metazoan signal recognition particle RNA". Rfam says of the family: The signal recognition particle (SRP) is a universally conserved ribonucleoprotein. The record is from Ensembl. Lineage: Eukaryota; Metazoa; Chordata; Mammalia; Primates; Hominidae.